This is a non-coding RNA of Neotoma lepida (desert woodrat), 70 nucleotides long. The record is from Rfam. NCBI's taxonomy places the organism in Eukaryota, Metazoa, Chordata, Mammalia, Rodentia, Cricetidae.
GGAGAGAUGGCUCAGUGGUUAAGAGCACUGACUACUCUUCCAGAGGACCUGGGUUCAAUUCCCAGCACCC